RNAcentral lists this ribosomal RNA (497 nucleotides) under uncultured bacterium. RNAcentral describes it as "partial 16S ribosomal RNA". It matches the Rfam family "Bacterial small subunit ribosomal RNA", at positions 28 to 507 of the family's 1533-position model. The record is from RNAcentral.
GAUGAACGCUGGCGGCGUGCCUAAUACAUGCAAGUCGAGCGAACGGACGAGAAGCUUGCUUCUCUGAUGUUAGCGGCGGACGAGUGAGUAACACGUGGAUAACCUACCUAUAAGACUGGGAUAACUUCGGGAAACCGGAGCUACUACCGGAUAAUAUUUUGAACCGCAUGGUUCAAAAGUGAAAGACGGUCUUGCUGUCACUUAUAGAUGGAUCCGCGCUGCAUUAGCUAGUUGGUAAGGUAACGGCUUACCAAGGCAGCGAUGCAUAGCCGACCUGAGAGGGUGAUCGGCCACACUGGAACUGAGACACGGUCCAGACUCCUACGGGAGGCAGCAGCAGGGAAUCUUCCGGAAUGGGCGAAAGCCUGAUGGAGCAACGCCGCGUGAGUGAUGAAGGUCUUCGGCUCGUAAAACUCUGUUAUUAGGGAAGAACAUAUGUGUAAGUAACUGUGCACAGCUUGACGGUACCUAAUCAGAAAGCCACGGCUAACUACGUG